GAUGAACGCUAGCUACAGGCUUAACACAUGCAAGUCGAGGGGAAACGACAUCGAAAGCUUGCUUUUGAUGGGCGUCGACCGGCGCACGGGUGAGUAACGCGUAUCCAACCUGCCCACCACUUGGGGAUAACCUUGCGAAAGUAAGACUAAUACCCAAUGAUAUCCCACGAAGGCAUCCGAAUGGGAUUAAAGAUUUAUCGGUGAUGGAUGGGGAUGCGUCUGAUUAGCUUGUUGGCGGGUAACGGCCCACCAAGGCGACGAUCAGUAGGGGUUCUGAGAGGAAGGUCCCCCACAUUGGAACUGAGACACGGUCCAAACUCCUACGGGAGGCAGCAGUGAGGAAUAUUGGUCAAUGGGCGAGAGCCUGAACCAGCCAAGUAGCGUGCAGGACGACGGCCCUAUGGGUUGUAAACUGCUUUUAUAAGGGAAUAAAGUGAGUCUCGUGAGGCUUUUUGCAUGUACCUUAUGAAUAAGGACCGGCUAAUUCCGUGCCAGCAG
This 498-nucleotide ribosomal RNA is filed under the name uncultured bacterium. Its description in RNAcentral is "bacterial SSU rRNA". It matches the Rfam family "Bacterial small subunit ribosomal RNA", at positions 28 to 514 of the family's 1533-position model. The record is from RNAcentral.